This 496-nucleotide ribosomal RNA is filed under the name uncultured bacterium. RNAcentral's name for it is "partial 16S ribosomal RNA". It matches the Rfam family "Bacterial small subunit ribosomal RNA", at positions 28 to 506 of the family's 1533-position model. The record is from RNAcentral.
GAUGAACGCUGGCGGCGUGCCUAAUACAUGCAAGUCGAGCGAACAGACGAGGAGCUUGCUCCUCUGACGUUAGCGGCGGACGGGUGAGUAACACGUGGAUGACCUACCUAUAAGACUGGGAUAACUUCGGGAAACCGGAGCUAAUACCGGAUAAUAUAUUGAACCGCAUGGUUCAAUAGUGAAAGACGGUUUUGCUGUCACUUAUAGAUGGAUCCGCGCCGCAUUAGCUAGUUGGUAAGGUAACGGCUUACCAAGGCAACGAUGCGUAGCCGACCUGAGAGGGUGAUCGGCCACACUGGAACUGAGACACGGUCCAGACUCCUACGGGAGGCAGCAGUAGGGAAUCUUCCGCAAUGGGCGAAAGCUUGACGGAGCAACGCCGCGUGAGUGAUGAAGGUCUUCGGAUCGUAAAACUCUGUUAUUAGGGAAGAACAAAUGUGUAAGUAACUAUGCACGUCUUGACGGUACCUAAUCAGAAAGCCACGGCUAACUACGU